UUGAUACUCCCUCCGUCCGGAAAAACUUGUCCCUCAAAUGGAUGUUUUUUUAGAACGAAUGGAUGUAUCUAACACCAAGUUAGUGAUAGAUACAUCCAUAUGAGAGACAAGCUCGGGACAAGCUUUUUCAGACGGAGGGAGUAUAUA
Non-coding RNA from Triticum aestivum (bread wheat), 147 nucleotides. The record is from Rfam. Lineage: Eukaryota; Viridiplantae; Streptophyta; Magnoliopsida; Poales; Poaceae.